This 27-nucleotide small RNA is filed under the name Bombyx mori (domestic silkworm). RNAcentral describes it as "ovarian small RNA-35805". The record is from RNAcentral. Lineage: Eukaryota; Metazoa; Arthropoda; Insecta; Lepidoptera; Bombycidae.
UGUCUCUGUUAAUAACUUUGUAGGGGC